AGAGUUUGAUCAUGGCUCAGAACGUACGCUGGCGGCACGCCUAACACAUGCAAGUCGAACGCAGUAGCAAUACUGAGUGGCAAACGGGUGAGUAUAAUGUGGGAAUCUGCCUUUUGGUUCGGAAUAACACGGGGAAACUUGUGCUAAUACCGGAUAAGCCCUUACGGGGAAAGUUUUAACGCCGAAAGAUGAGCCCGCACUUGAUUAGCUAGUUGGUAAGGUAAAAGCUUACCAAGGCAACGAUCAAUAGCUGUUCUUAGAGGAAGACCAGCCACAUUGGGACUGAGACACGGCCCAGACUCCUACGGGAGGCAGCAGUGGGGAAUCUUGCACAAUGGGGGAAACCCUGAUGCAGCGAUGCCGCGUGAGUGAAGAAGGCCUUUGGGUUGUAAAACUCUUUCGUCGGGGAAGAAAAUGACUGUACCCGAAUAAGAAGGUCCGGCUAACUUCGUGCCAGCAGCCGCGGUAAUACGAAGGGACCUAGCGUAGUUCGGAAUUACUGGGCUUAAAGAGCUCGUAGGUGGUUAAAAAAGUUGAUGGUGAAAUCCCAAGGCUCAACCUUGGAACUGCCAUCAAAACUUUUUAGCUAGAGUGUGAUAGAGGUAAGUGGAAUUUCUAGUGUAGAGGUGAAAUUCGUAGAUAUUAGAAAGAACACCAAAUGCGAAGGCAACUUACUGGGUCACUACUGACACUGAGGAGCGAAAGCAUGGGUAGCAAAGAGGAUUAGAUACCCUCGUAGUCCAUGCCGUAAACGAUGUGUGCUAGACGUUGGAAAUAUAUUUUUCAGUGUCGCAGCGAAAGCAUUAAGCACACCGCCUGGGGAGUACGACCGCAAGGGUUAAAACUCAAAUGAAUUGACGGGGACUCGCACAAGCAGUGGAGCAUGUGGU
Molecule: ribosomal RNA, 890 nt
Filed under: uncultured bacterium
Lineage: Bacteria
Description: bacterial SSU rRNA
Rfam family: Bacterial small subunit ribosomal RNA
Source: RNAcentral